CCCUUUAUCUCAACUUACAAGUAGUAGAUAUAUUGAAGUCCCUAGAAUCAGAAAUACAAGAGGAAAUUGCAGGAGUAGCAAAACUAACGAUAGAAGAAGAAGGAGGUGAGGAACUUAGAAGAAAUUGAGAGAGAAAGAGUGUCCAGUGAUAACAAAAAGUACUCUGCCCUGCACUGCUCCACUCACGAUGCUUUAUGCCUACUGCUUUGCCAAUUUUACCCCUUUUUACGUGAACUUCCCCCUUUCCACACGUAAUCACCAAGUCUUUUAGGAGGAAUGACCUUUCUAGCAGUCUUACGUGGCAGUCCCAUGUGCUCAUCCUGAGUGGCAUCCCAGUCAACAAUCGUCUCAUUCACAACAUUACUCCCUUCCUGGAAAGCAACCUUGUCCUCAAGGUUGGACUUAGGGAGAUCUUCUGUAGUAGGAACACUCAGAUGUAGAGGAGUCACUUGCUGAUCCGGAGUGCCAACACAUUUCUUCAACAUAGAAAUAUGGAAAACAUAAUGGAUUUUUGCAGAUUCAGGCAGUUCCAGGCGAUAAGCAACAGGACCAAUGCGUUUUAACACCUGAUAGGGCCCAAAAUAACGCCUCUCAAGCUUAUGAUCUCGCUGCAAGCGUAGAGUAUUCUGUCUGAAGGGCUUAAGUUUGACAUACACCCAAUCACCCACCUCAAGGAAGGUAUCAGUCCUAGACUUAUCAGCCAACCGCUUCAUGCGAUUCUGAGCCUUCAACAAAUUGUUUUUGAGGAUGUGCAAGACUUCAUCCCGCUGCAAUAGAUAGGACUCAACUAGUUCGCUCGCACUACUCCCCAAAAUGUACCUAGCAACAGUAGGAGGUUCACGACCAUAUAGUGCCUGGAAGGGGGUCACACCAGCUGAAGUGUGAUAUGAAGUAUUAUACCAAAAUUCUGCCCAUGGCAACAUAGCAACCCAUUGGGAAGGCACCUCAGCGACAUAGCAACGCAAAUAUUGUUCCACACAUUUGUUAAGAGCCUCAGAUUGUCCAUCUGUUUGAGGAUGAUAGGUUGUACUCAUGGCUAAAAUGGAUCUUUGCAAGCGAUUAAUCUCUUGCCAAAAAGAAUGCAAGAACCGCGGAUCAUGAUCUGUCACAAUAGAACGAGGAGGGCCAUGGAGCCUAAUAAUACCCACCACAAAGGCCUCAGCUACUGUAUGAGUCGAGAAAGUAGAUGACAAUGGAAUAAAAUGACCGUACUUAGUGAGACGGUCGAUGACUGUCAUGAUUGUGGUCUUUCCCUUUGAGCUCGGAAGACAAGUAAUGAAGUCCAUUGCAAUAUCCUCAAAGACCUGGUUUGGAAUCGACAAUGGUUGUAGUAGCCCAGCAGGAUGUAGGUGAGAAUCUUUCAUUUGCUGACAUAUAUGACACGCAGCCACAAAAGUUUGUACAUCCGUGCGCAUCCGUUUCCAAAAGAAAUUAGAUGACAAACGAUGGAAUGUGCGCGCAACCCCGGCAUGUCCUCCUAUAGCAGUAGCAUGGAACUCAAGUAGUAAUUUAUGACGUAAGGGAGAGUCCGAGGGAAUCACUAUCCUGCCUUUGUAAAAUAACAUCCCUUCUUUGAACUGAUAGUCAUUAAAAAUUUUAUCCCCAAGAUUCAAGGCUUGUUGUAUUGCUACUAACUCGGGGUUGGUCUGAUUCAGCUGCUUUAAAUCAGCCUCUAUAGCAAAAGAAUUGACUGAAAUAGUCAUGAGAACAGCCUCUGAAGUACGCGACAAGGCAUCUGCUGCUGUGUUCUGUUUUCCAGGCCUAUACAAGAUACGAAAGUCAUAGCCGACAAGUUUAGUGAGCCAUUUUUGUUGCUCAGGGGUCUGUAUAGUCUGGGUAGUUAAGUUACGCAGUGAUUGUUGAUCAGUAAGGAUAGUGAACUGGCGCCCCAAUAGGUACUGUCUUAGCCACAUCCUCAAUCUUGACCCUUAUUUGAUGGUAACCUGAUAACAAUGUUGUGAAUGAGACGAUUGUUGACUGGGAUGCUACUCAGGAUGAGCACAUGGGACUGCCACGUAAGACUGCUAGAAAGGUCAUUCCUCCUAAAAGACUUGGUGAUUACGUGUGGAAAGGGGAAGUUCACGUAAAAAGGGGUAAAAUUGGCAAAGCAGUAGGCAUAAAGCAUCGUGAGUGGAGCAGUGCAGGGCAGAGUACUUUUUGUUAUCACUGGACACUCUUUCUCUCUUAAUUUCUUCUAAGUUCCUCACCUCCUUCUUCCUCACCUCCUGCAAUUUCCUCUUGUAUUUCUGAUUCUAGGGACUUCAAUAUAUCUACUACUUGUAAGUUGAGAUAAAGGGUAUUAAUAUAAGUGUAGUUGGUGUUUCACUGUGUCAAUUUGUUACAUUGGUGCUUUCAUUGAGAGAGAAAGAGUGUCCAGUGAUAACAAAAAGUACUCUGCCCUGCACUGCUCCACUCACGAUGCUUUUAUGCCUACUGCUUUGCCAAUUUUACCCCUUUUUACGUGAACUUCCCCCUUUCCACACGUAAUCACCAAGUCUUUUUAGGAGGAAUGACCUUUCUAGCAGUCUUACGUGGCAGUCCCAUGUGCUCAUCCUGAGUGGCAUCCCAGUCAACAAUCGUCUCAUUCACAACA
Molecule: long non-coding RNA, 2593 nt
Filed under: Solanum tuberosum (potato)
Lineage: Eukaryota; Viridiplantae; Streptophyta; Magnoliopsida; Solanales; Solanaceae
Description: long non-coding RNA (STUB_LNC002079)
Source: RNAcentral